AGUGAACGCUGGCGGUAGGCCUAACACAUGCAAGUCGAACGGCAGCACAGUAAGAGCUUGCUCUUACGGGUGGCGAGUGGCGGACGGGUGAGGAAUACAUCGGAAUCUACUUUUUCGUGGGGGAUAACGUAGGGAAAACUUACGCUAAUACCGCAUACGACCUACGGGUGAAAGCAGGGGAUCUUCGGACCUUGCGCGAUUGAAUGAGCCGAUGCCGGAUUAGCUAGUUGGCGGGGUAAAGGCCCACCAAGGCGACGAUCCGUAGCUGGUCUGAGAGGAUGAUCAGCCACACUGGAACUGAGACACGGUCCAGACUCCUACGGGAGGCAGCAGUGGGGAAUAUUGGACAAUGGGCGCAAGCCUGAUCCAGCCAUACCGCGUGGGUGAAGAAGGCCUUCGGGUUGUAAAGCCCUUUUGUUGGGAAAGAAAAGCAGCAGGUUAAUACCCCGCUGUUCUGACGGUACCCAAAGAAUAAGCACCGGCUAACUUCGUG
Molecule: ribosomal RNA, 493 nt
Filed under: uncultured bacterium
Lineage: Bacteria
Description: partial 16S ribosomal RNA
Rfam family: Bacterial small subunit ribosomal RNA
Source: RNAcentral